GCGAGAGAGGGGAGGGGGGGGGGGGGAAUACGGAGGGGGGGAGCGGGGGCCGGAAGUACGGGGCGGAAAGGGCGUGUAGGCGGGGCGUCGCGUCGAGUGGGAAAACGUGCAGCGCAACUGCAAGCUUGCAGUCGAGACGGGCGGACUAGAGUACUGCAGGGGAGACUGGAAUGCCUGGUGUAGCGGGGAAAUGCGCAGAGAUCAGGAGGAACACCGGUGGCGAAGGCGGGUCUCUGGGAAGUAACUGACGCUGAGAAGCGAAAGCGUGGGUAGCGAACAGGAUUAGAUACCCUAGUAGUC
RNAcentral lists this ribosomal RNA (300 nucleotides) under uncultured Bacillus sp. Its description in RNAcentral is "partial 16S ribosomal RNA". The stretch from base 52 to 300 matches the Rfam family "Bacterial small subunit ribosomal RNA", at positions 547 to 795 of the family's 1533-position model. The record is from RNAcentral. Lineage: Bacteria; Bacillati; Bacillota; Bacilli; Caryophanales; Bacillaceae.